UUUAAUUGAAGAGUUUGAUCAUGGCUCAGAUUGAACGCUGGCGGCAGGCCUAACACAUGCAAGUCGAGCGGUAACAGAUUGAUAGCUUGCUAUCAAUGCUGACGAGCGGCGGACGGG
This 117-nucleotide ribosomal RNA is filed under the name Photobacterium phosphoreum. RNAcentral describes it as "partial 16S ribosomal RNA". It matches the Rfam family "Bacterial small subunit ribosomal RNA", at positions 1 to 106 of the family's 1533-position model. RNAcentral also lists the same sequence under 2 other names. The record is from RNAcentral. Lineage: Bacteria; Pseudomonadati; Pseudomonadota; Gammaproteobacteria; Vibrionales; Vibrionaceae.